RNAcentral lists this ribosomal RNA (468 nucleotides) under uncultured bacterium. RNAcentral describes it as "partial 16S ribosomal RNA". It matches the Rfam family "Bacterial small subunit ribosomal RNA", at positions 28 to 507 of the family's 1533-position model. The record is from RNAcentral.
GACGAACGCUGGCGGCGUGCUUAACACAUGCAAGUCGAACGGAAAGGCCCUGCUUUUGUGGGGUGCUCGAGUGGCGAACGGGUGAGUAACACGUGGGUAACCUGCCCUUGACUUUGGGAUAACUUCAGGAAACUGGGGCUAAUACCGGAUAGGAGCUCCUGCUGCAUGGUGGGGGUUGGAAAGUUUCGGCGGUUGGGGAUGGACUCGCGGCUUAUCAGCUUGUUGGUGGGGUAGUGGCUUACCAAGGCUUUGACGGGUAGCCGGCCUGAGAGGGUGACCGGCCACAUUGGGACUGAGAUACGGCCCAGACUCCUACGGGAGGCAGCAGUGGGGAAUAUUGCACAGUGAGCGGAAGCCUGAUGCAGCAACGCCGCGUGCGGGAUGACGGCCUUCGGGUUGUAAACCGCUUUCGCCUGUGACGAAGCGUGAGUGACGGUAAUGGGUAAAGAAGCACCGGCUAACUACGUG